AGUGAACGCUGGCGGUAGGCCUAACACAUGCAAGUCGAACGGCAGCACAGUAAGAGCUUGCCCUUACGGUUGGCGAGUGGCGGACGGGUGAGGAAUACAUCGGCAUCUACUUUUUCGGGGGGGAUAACGUAGGGAAACUUACGAUACUACCGCAUACGACCUACGGGUGAAAGCAGGGGAUCUUCGCACCUUGCGCGUCUGAAUGAGCCGAUGUCGGAUUAGCUAGUUGGCGAGGUAAAGGCACACCAAGGCGACGAUACGUAGCUGGUCUGAGAGGAUGAUCAGCCACACUGGAACUGAGACACGGUCCAGACUCCUACGGGAGGCAGCAGUGGGGAAUAUUCGACAAUGGGCGCAAGCCUGAUCCAGCCAUGCCGCGUGAGUGAAGAAGGCCUUCGGGUUGUAAAGCCCUUUUAUUGGGAAAGAAAAGCUGCGGGUGAAUCCCCCGCUGUUCUGACGGUACCCAAUGAGUAAGCACCGGCUAACUUCGUG
RNAcentral lists this ribosomal RNA (492 nucleotides) under uncultured bacterium. RNAcentral describes it as "partial 16S ribosomal RNA". It matches the Rfam family "Bacterial small subunit ribosomal RNA", at positions 29 to 507 of the family's 1533-position model. The record is from RNAcentral.